Molecule: ribosomal RNA, 253 nt
Filed under: uncultured bacterium
Lineage: Bacteria
Description: partial 16S ribosomal RNA
Rfam family: Bacterial small subunit ribosomal RNA
Source: RNAcentral
UACGUAGGGAGCUAGCGUUGUCCGGAAUCAUUGGGCGUAAAGCGCGCGUAGGCGGCCCGGUAAGUCCGCUGUGAAAGUCAAAGGCUCAACCUUUGAAUGUCAGCGGAUACUGCCGGGCUAGAGUCCGGAAGAGGCGAGUGGAACUCCUGGUGUAGCGGUGAAAUGCGCAGAUAUCAGGAGGAACACCUAUUGCGAAGGCAGCUCGCUGGGACGCAACUGACGCUGAGACGCGAAAGCGUGGGGAGCAAACAGG